RNAcentral lists this long non-coding RNA (2176 nucleotides) under Pongo abelii (Sumatran orangutan). RNAcentral's name for it is "lincRNA". Lineage: Eukaryota; Metazoa; Chordata; Mammalia; Primates; Hominidae. The record is from RNAcentral.
AAACUUGCUUGUUCACGAGAAUCACGUGGGGAGCGUGUUAAAAUUACAGAUUCCUCGGCUCCACCCGCAGGCCUACUGAAUCAGAAUCUCGAAGGGAGGUACUCCGGAACCUGUAUCUCUAACUAGGGCCCCAGAGGCUGCUUAUGAUCAGGUCCUGCCCUUCCCGAAAAGGAUGAAGCUCCAGCUGCAGUUCUGGGGAGGCCUGGACCCCAGCUCCGGAGGGGCCGGGCUACCAAGGCCGCUGGGCCUGGAGAGGCCCGUCCCUGGCCCAUCUUAUCAGCGCUCUGCAGGGUCUGGGCCUGCUGCUCGCGUCCUCCUGGGCUCCCAAGGCCACGGGUGGGUUGAUGGCUUGACAGCCGGCCUCCUGGCCCAGCAGACACUGAGUAGCCCGAGGGCACAAUCCACCUCUUCUCUCCAAGGCCAGCUGGAGGGACGAGGCACGACAAGGCCAUCCCUACAGCUAGCACUUCCCCUACAGCUGAGAGGGGGCCUAAACUACAGGACACAGUCCCAAGACCCUUAAGCCCUGGCAGCAUCCCGGGGUGGGCAGCAGGUGGAAGUGGAAAGAAGCCUGUGGAGCUGCCAGCAGGGAGAGGGGGUCGGACGUGAGGCUGAGAGGCCUCUGGGAACCCCUGUGCCAAGGGGCUGCUGGCACUGGGCAGCAGCACCCCAAAGCCCACGAGGAGUGUGCCCAGAGCAAGUGGCUCAGACCUGGGGCAUGGCUCGAGGGUGUCGGGCUGUAGCUGCUGGUCCCAGAGAGUGCAGGCCAGGGCAGGCAUCAGAACAGGAGUCGGAGGAGAAAGUGUUCUAGGAAGAGUCCAGUCCCCGAGUCCUGGUGGUGGCUGGCUGUAGCCUAGUGCAUGCUGUCUAGCUUGUGCGGCUGUGCUGCCUGAGUAUACAUACCCUAGCAACAUUCUCCUUGGUCAGCACGGGACAUCAGCUCUCCACCUGGCUCCUUCCUCUAGGGAGGGGACGGGGAGGCCUCCUAGGGUUAGCUGCAGGAGUUGGUCCUCAAGAAUCAGGAGCCCUUGAAAGGAGGAUGUGUGGUUCCCAUACAACUGAGGGUCGCCCUGGGCCCUACCCUUCCUGAGUCAGCUCUUGCUUCAAUUCCUUGAAGCACCCCAGCAUCCUUUCAAUAAAUGCCUGCCCUUUGUGGCCUGCAACCAGAGGAACUGCAACUAGCACACUCACUGAAGGAAUCCUGCUGCUGCUGCUGCUGCUGCUGCUGCUGCUAAAAACAACCGAAGUCAUGGAUGAGGGGGUGGAGGAUACUCUCAUCCCACCUCCAGACUGACAACAAAAAGACCUAAAGAUCUCUGUGUACCUGGGACUGUCUACCAUUGAAGAUUAGCCAUGGUAACUUGUUGAUUUAGUGAUCAACUUCCUGCAGAAGCCCAUAGGUCCACCUGGACUCUGCCCAGGCCAGCAUGUUCUGAAAAUGGAGGGCUCUGUCACCAUUCACUCAACAAAUGUUUAUUCUGCACUGACCGAGGGCCAGAUGUACUAAGAGCUGUGGACACAGCACUCCAACUUACCCCAGGGCUACUGAAAUCAGGGAUGGCUUCCCCAAAAGGCACACUAAGGAAAGUCUAUGUCACUAGAAGAGGCACCAAAAACAAAAAAUCAAAAAAGAAAAAAUACCAGAAACAGUUUGACAUUUGAUUUUUUUUAAGUAGUCCUCGUGGGAAAAAUCAGAACUUUGUUGUACUUCCUUACAUUCAUUUCCUGAUUACAUGAUGCUUUUGUUUUGAAUCACGUGUGGAGGGUGUCACCAAAACCUUUAGAUGCCUUGUCCUUAUGUGGCUCUGGACCCAGAUCCUGGCAAAUGUUACCAUCUCUGCCUCACAAGGAUCUGACAGAAUGCAGGCAGUUGGGGCUAUCCUUAGGAGAGACAGCUCUCCUUCGCAGUAGAUGCCCCUGGGUGAUAAAUCCAACUCUGACCACAAGGUGGCAAAAGAGUAAAUGACAAUUCCUCAUAUAUGUUUUGUAUGUUUAUAUAAAACUAUUGGUUUACAUAAAAUGCUCUCUAAAAAUAUUAAGAAAAAUGUAUGCUCCUUCACACAUUUUUGGAUUGAUGUCUGACAUUUUGCAUCAUAAAUGUCAAUUGGCUACAAAUAAUGUAAUUUGUGACAAAUGUUAAUAUUCAAAAAUAAAACUGUUAUGUCACUAUUUCACA